UUCUCUCGCGCGCAUACAUGCUUGUAACCAUGCACACAUUCAGUUUAACUCCCGUGUUCGUCGCUAAUCUCAUUUCCCACAAACCCCUCGCUGCGCAGCCCAACCACAACCGAGUGCGAUCGAGGAGCUAGCGUUUCCCGUACCGAUCGAUGGCCGUCGACGACAAUGUGCUGCCCUCGCCGUCGCCGCCGCCGCCACCGCCGCCGCGGAUCGUCGUCGUGGCGCUGGCGCUCACGCGCUCCGCCCUCGUGCCGAUGCUGGCGGCCCGGCGCGUCCUCCGCGUCGCGGCCAGGGCCUUCCCCUACCUGGCAUUCGCGCUCGCGUGGGCCAUCUCCGCGGCCUCGGCUGCCAAGAUCGUGGCGCGCCGCGCCUGGGGCGAGGGCUCCGCCCCCUUCCUCUUCCUCCAGGCGUUCACGUCCGGCGCUUACAAGGUCUGCGCCUACAGCUUCCUUGUCUUGCUCGCGCUCGCCGUGCUGCUGCUGUGCGGCCUGUGCGUGGCGUACGUGAUCGCAGUUCUAUCUGGACGCGGUCCAGAAUUCCAGAAGCGUGCCCUGGGAGCAAUCACGUGGGAGUCCAACUCGUUUAGGCUGCCUCGCAUGGCGGUGCUUGGAUUCAUCACAGUUGUGCCCUUCUUCGCGCUAGUUGUCGCCGGUCUUCUGUUGGCGAUGAUGUCGCAUGUGGAGGGAUCGGUGUCUCAGGGAGAAAUGGUCGGUUUUGUGAUCGUGGAUGUGGGUUUCUUUGGAAUGCACGCGACGUCUUGCGUUCUUAUCAUCCCAGCUCUAGCACUUGGCGCCUGGAGGUUCGACCAGGCGGACAGGAAAGCACAGUCGCAGUCUUGUUGAGCACUACCAACUGAAAGGACAAGACCAAAUCGAAUUCAAUAACAUUUUCUUGAAAGAAAAGGUAGACCAUUUUCUACCUUAUGCAUUCAAAACGGGGAGACUCCGAAUUCAAUAACAUUUCACAAGAGAAACUAAGAAGGGAAGAUGUCCGGAGAAUGUGGCAAGGAGCUACAGCGCCCAUUCCGCUGAUGGUUGUGAGUGAGCCCAACAGACACAAGUUUUCAGAGGAAAAAGAGUCUUUGCAAACUUGCUUCUUUCUACUAUUGUAGAUCCUAAUCAUCAUCAGCCAUUAAAAUUUUGUAGACUUGCUUAUUUAUGCUAUUACUAGAUCGUAACGGUCAAUAGUGA
Triticum aestivum (bread wheat) is the source of this 1190-nucleotide RNA transcript. RefSeq lists it as uncharacterized. The record is from RefSeq and is a predicted model, not a curated record. Lineage: Eukaryota; Viridiplantae; Streptophyta; Magnoliopsida; Poales; Poaceae. The transcript is spliced from 4 exons.